UUUGCUAUUUUUUUAGUUUUUUUUUCUUUUCUUUCUUUUUUCUUGAAUAUUUGGGUUCUAUUUCAAUUCUUUCUUGACUUGUUCUCUGGGUGCAUUGCCUUUUUGGUUUAGUGUGGGGGGUUUAGUGCUGGAUUAGUUGCAAUUUUGGUUCAUCAAAAGUGUAAGUUCGACUUUUUUUUCUGUUGAUCUAAGGUGUUUGUUUUUCAAUGGGGUUUGAGUUUAAGUUUUAGUAUUUGAAUCAUUUAAUAUCGUGUUAAGCAUUUUCCAUGGUUUUUGGAUAGGCAAAGUUUUGGGGAAUCAACUUUCUCCAGCAGAAUAGGACUCGUCUGAG
RNAcentral lists this long non-coding RNA (331 nucleotides) under Gossypium raimondii (Peruvian cotton). RNAcentral's name for it is "long non-coding RNA (GRAI_LNC006281)". Lineage: Eukaryota; Viridiplantae; Streptophyta; Magnoliopsida; Malvales; Malvaceae. The record is from RNAcentral.